GGCUAAGUUGCUCUCGAAAAUCAAAAAAGUAAGCAUGUAGAAAGCGCAACUGGUCCCAUGUUUGGACGAGGGUUCGAAUCCCUCCGGGUCCA
Molecule: transfer RNA, 92 nt
Filed under: Pedobacter segetis
Lineage: Bacteria; Pseudomonadati; Bacteroidota; Sphingobacteriia; Sphingobacteriales; Sphingobacteriaceae
Description: Pedobacter sp. SD-b tRNA-Asp
Source: RNAcentral